UUCUCUAUUCUUUAUUUAUGUUUACAUCUUCAAGGGUGAAUUUGGUAGUUGAAUAGAAGGUUGAGAUGGUGUUUAAUGGAGUAUAAAUUUUAAUUUGAUAUUUUUAUGAUUGUUCUCUAAUGGUGUUAAUUAAGGAAAAUGGAAAAAAACUGGAGGUGGGGAUGUGGGUUGGCUGGAAGAAGAGAAAGAAAUAGAGGGGGCAUGGGCGGGGACAGGGG
RNAcentral lists this long non-coding RNA (218 nucleotides) under Capsicum annuum. RNAcentral describes it as "long non-coding RNA (CANN_LNC014600)". The record is from RNAcentral. Lineage: Eukaryota; Viridiplantae; Streptophyta; Magnoliopsida; Solanales; Solanaceae.